CUACGGGAGGCAGCAGUGGGGAAUAUUGGACAAUGGGCGAAAGCCUGAUCCAGCCAUGCCGCGUGUGUGAAGAAGGCUUUCGGGUUGUAAAGCACUUUCAGCGAGGAAGAAGGCCUCUGGGUUAAUACCCCAGAGGAAGGACAUCACUCGCAGAAGAAGCACCGGCUAACUCCGUGCCAGCAGCCGCGGUAAUACGGAGGGUGCGAGCGUUAAUCGGAAUUACUGGGCGUAAAGCGCGCGUAGGUGGCUUGGCACGCCGGUUGUGAAAGCCCCGGGCUCAACCUGGGAACGGCAUCCGGAACGGCCAGGCUAGAGUGCAGGAGAGGAAGGUAGAAUUCCCGGUGUAGCGGUGAAAUGCGUAGAGAUCGGGAGGAAUACCAGUGGCGAAGGCGGCCUUCUGGCCUGACACUGACACUGAGGUGCGAAAGCGUGGGUAGCAAACAGGAUUAGAUACCCUGGUAGUCCACGCCGUAAACGAUGUCGAACUAGCCGUUGGGACCUUUAAGGACUUAGUGGCGCAGUAACGCGAUAAGUCG
This 536-nucleotide ribosomal RNA is filed under the name uncultured Halomonas sp. RNAcentral's name for it is "bacterial SSU rRNA". It matches the Rfam family "Bacterial small subunit ribosomal RNA", at positions 339 to 867 of the family's 1533-position model. Lineage: Bacteria; Pseudomonadati; Pseudomonadota; Gammaproteobacteria; Oceanospirillales; Halomonadaceae. The record is from RNAcentral.